CCUACGGGUGGCAGCAGUGAGGAAUAUUGGUCAAUGGACGAGAGUCUGAACCAGCCAAGUAGCGUGAAGGAUGACUGCCCUAUGGGUUGUAAACUUCUUUUAUAUGGGAAUAAAAUGUUCCACGUGUGGGAUUUUGUAUGUACCAUAUGAAUAAGGAUCGGCUAACUCCGUGCCAGCAGCCGCGGUAAUACGGAGGAUCCGAGCGUUAUCCGGAUUUAUUGGGUUUAAAAGGAGCGUAGGUGGAUUGUUAAGUCAGUUGUGAAAGUUUGCGGCUCAACCGUAAAAUUGCAGUUGAAACUGGCAGUCUUGAGUACAGUAGAGGUGGGCGGAAUUCGUGGUGUAGCGGUGAAAUGCUUAGAUAUCACGAAGAACUCCGAUUGUGAAGGCAGUUCACUGGACUGCAACUGACACUGAGGCUCGAAAGUGUGGGUAUCAAACAGGAUUAGAUACCCGGGUAGUC
This 460-nucleotide ribosomal RNA is filed under the name uncultured bacterium. Its description in RNAcentral is "partial 16S ribosomal RNA". It matches the Rfam family "Bacterial small subunit ribosomal RNA", at positions 338 to 795 of the family's 1533-position model. The record is from RNAcentral.